Molecule: ribosomal RNA, 439 nt
Filed under: Sutterella sp.
Lineage: Bacteria; Pseudomonadati; Pseudomonadota; Betaproteobacteria; Burkholderiales; Sutterellaceae
Description: bacterial SSU rRNA
Rfam family: Bacterial small subunit ribosomal RNA
Source: RNAcentral
CUUGCUCCCGGGUGGCGAGUGGCGCACGGGUGAGUAAUACAUCGGAACGUGUCCUGUUGUGGGGGAUAACUGCUCGAAAGGGUGGCUAAUACCGCAUGAGACCUGAGGGUGAAAGCGGGGGAUCGCAAGACCUCGCGCAAUUGGAGCGGCCGAUGCCCGAUUAGCUAGUUGGUGAGGUAAAGGCUCACCAAGGCGACGAUCGGUAGCUGGUCUGAGAGGACGACCAGCCACACUGGGACUGAGACACGGCCCAGACUCCUACGGGAGGCAGCAGUGGGGAAUUUUGGACAAUGGGGGCAACCCUGAUCCAGCCAUGCCGCGUGCAGGAUGAAGGCCUUCGGGUUGUAAACUGCUUUUGUCAGGGACGAAAAGGACCGUGUUAAUACCAUGGUCUGCUGACGGUACCUGAAGAAUAAGCACCGGCUAACUACGUGCCAGC